This 253-nucleotide ribosomal RNA is filed under the name uncultured bacterium. RNAcentral describes it as "partial 16S ribosomal RNA". It matches the Rfam family "Bacterial small subunit ribosomal RNA", at positions 524 to 776 of the family's 1533-position model. The record is from RNAcentral.
UACAGAGGCCUCAAGCGUUGUUCGGAAUUAUUGGGCGUAAAGGGCAUGAAGGUUGUUUUGUUAGUCGAACCGUAAAAUAUAAGUGCUUAACAUUUGUGUGCGGCCGAUACUGCAAAGCUUGAGUUCUACACAGGAAAUAGGAAUUUACGGUGUAGCAGUGAAAUGCGUGGAUAUCGUAAGGAACACCAAAGGCGAAAGCAUAUUUCUGGUGAGUUACUGACACUAUAGUGCGAAGGCUAGGGGAGCAAAUGGG